RNAcentral lists this ribosomal RNA (769 nucleotides) under Candidatus Woesearchaeota archaeon. Its description in RNAcentral is "bacterial SSU rRNA". It matches the Rfam family "Archaeal small subunit ribosomal RNA", at positions 1 to 838 of the family's 1478-position model. The record is from RNAcentral. Lineage: Archaea; Nanobdellati; Candidatus Woesearchaeota.
AAUCCCGUUUAUCCUGCGGGAGGCCGCCGCUAUCAAGAUUCUACUUAGCCAUGCAAGUCAGGGGGUAGCAAUACCACCGGCGAAAGGCUCAGUAACACGUUGAUAAUUUGCCCUUAGGUCUAGGAUACCGUUGCGAAAGUGACGUUAAACCUGGAUAGGAGAUCGAUACUGGAAUGUACUUUCUCUGAAACGCAAGGCCUAAGGAUAAGUCAGCGGCUGAUUAGGUAGUUGGUGAGGUAAAGGCUCACCAAGCCUAUGAUCAGUAGGGGGGAUGAAAGUCCUAGCCCCGAGAAGGAAAGUGUGAUAAGGGAAUCUUGAGUGCUUUACUUCGGUAAAGCUUUUGCUGAGUAUAAAAAGCUCGGAGAAUAAGUGAUGGGCAAGACCGGUGCCAGCCGCCGCGGUAACCCCGGCGUCACGAGUGGGGGCCACGAUUAUUGGGUCUAAAGGGUCCGUAGCCUGUUUUGUAAAUCUCUUGUGAAAUUGUUAGGCUUAACCUAACAGCUGGCGAGAGAAACUGCAAAGCUUGGAACCGGGAGGAGGCAGAAGUAUUCCAGGGGGAGCGGUAAAAUGUAAUAAUCCCUGGAGGACUACCCGUGGCGAAGGCGUCUGCCUAGAACGGAUUCGACGGUGAUGGACGAAAGCUAGGGGAGCAAAAAGGAUUAGAUACCCUAGUAGUCCUAGCUGUAAACGCUGCGAGCUAUGUGUUGCAUGUUCUUCGGGGACAUGCAGUGCCUAAGCGAAGGUGUUAAGCUCGCCACCUGGGAAGUAC